Small nuclear RNA from Cervus hanglu yarkandensis (Yarkand deer), 107 nucleotides. The record is from Ensembl. Lineage: Eukaryota; Metazoa; Chordata; Mammalia; Artiodactyla; Cervidae.
GUGCUCGCUUCGGCAGCACAUAUACUAGAAUUGGAAUGAUACAGAGAAAAUUAGCAUGGCUCCUGCACAGGAAUGACAUGCAAAUUCAUGAAGCCUUCCAUAUUUUU